AGAGAGAGACAUGCGCGCAUAUCAAUAAGCGGAGGAAAAGAAACUAACUAGGAUUCCCUCAGUAACGGCGAGUGAAGCGGGAAGAGCUCAAAUUUGAAAUCUUCAAGGUUCUACCUUGACGAAUUGUAGUUUAAAGAAGUGUUUUCUGUUGAAGUUUUGGUAAAAGUUCUUUGGAAUAGGACAUCAUAGAGGGUGAGAAUCCCGUAUUUGACCAUUACUUUCCAACUUUGUGAUACACUUUCAAAGAGUCGGAUUGUUUGGGAAUGCAGUCCAAAAUGGGUGGUAAAUUUCAUCUAAAGCUAAAUAUUGGCGAGAGACCGAUAGCGAACAAGUACCGUGAGGGAAAGAUGAAAAGAACUUUGAAAAGAGAGUUAAACAGUACGUGAAAUUGUCAAAAGGGAAGCGUUUGACACCAGUGUUGUUUUCUCUGAAAAUCAAUUAAAGAACUGUUUAUGCUAAGUUGUUUAGACUUUAUCAGCUAACUGUUUAGUUUUGAGCUUUUCUUUAAUGCACUUUUCAGUUAACAAGUCAACAUCAAUUUCUUUUGCUGUAAAAAAGCUUGAGGAAGGUGGCUUGAGAUUCGUCUUAAGUGUUUAUAGCCUCUUGCCUAUGCAGUCGGAGAGAUUGAGGUCUGCAGCGUAGAUCCUUCGGGGCUAAAUGCAUUUGUGCUAGGUUAUAGCAUUUUAUAGACAACUUGUUGACUAUGAUCAGUCAUGUAGCUUACUCGCUUAUGUUAUUUUACCUACGCUUAGGAUGUUGAUGUGAUACUGCGAGCA
This 776-nucleotide ribosomal RNA is filed under the name uncultured Neocallimastigales. RNAcentral describes it as "partial large subunit ribosomal RNA". It matches the Rfam family "Eukaryotic large subunit ribosomal RNA", at positions 23 to 646 of the family's 3401-position model. Lineage: Eukaryota; Fungi; Neocallimastigomycota; Neocallimastigomycetes; Neocallimastigales. The record is from RNAcentral.